CCGCCGCCGCCUUCCUCCGCCCCUCGCCACAACCUCGGGAUGGGAGCUAACAAGAGGAAGGCAGAAACUGGUUGUGCAGUUUGCUGUGAGGUUCAUGGCCCCUCAAGGACCAGAUAGUCAGGCUUGUAAGAGCUGCAGGAAAAAGAGAAAGUCUGGAUCUGAAACUUUCCCCAUCAGGCACACCCACUGAUAGUAAAAAUGUCACCAGCUGAGUUUUUGCUUGUUAGGCACCACCGCUUAGAAGAUGCUACAUGCAAUGAUGUUAUCUAUAACAUGCUUUUUUUUACGUAUGAAAGGCAUAGUAACAUUAAUAUUCUCUUUUUAAAAGAAUAUUAUAGCAAUAACAGCUAAAGCAAUAUAACAGCCAGUUAAUAAUAAUGUAUCAACUGAUGGGUCUGGAUUCAAAACAGCUAACUGAGACAAACUUGUGACUCUCUGAAAUGCUGAAAUAUUUGGUCCUCCUUCUCCUCCCCCCCCCUGCUUUAUUUGCCCUUUUCAUGUUGCCAACUUGUAGAGACAGACUAACUUGGCUACUUGUUUCAGAGCAACUAGCGACUUUGUCACUUUUUGUAUGUAAGAAGCAAUCUUUUUCUGACAACUGCUAAAUUUAUUGCUUUGGGAAGGUAAUUUUGAAGAUAUUGUGAGAUUUGGGGCUAUUUUUGUAUUGUCUUUUCUUUUUUAUGUUAGUACCAUGUUAA
Pogona vitticeps (central bearded dragon) is the source of this 698-nucleotide non-coding RNA. The record is from RefSeq and is a predicted model, not a curated record. Lineage: Eukaryota; Metazoa; Chordata; Lepidosauria; Squamata; Agamidae.